GGGAUUGCCCUAGUAACGGCGAGUGAAGCGGCAACAGCUCAAAUUUGAAAUCUGGCUCUUUCAGGGUCCGAGUUGUAAUUUGUAGAGGGCGCUUUGGUGUUGGCUGCGGUCUAAGUUCCUUGGAACAGGACGUCACAGAGGGUGAGAAUCCCGUACGUGGUCGACAGUCUUCACCGUGUAAAGCCCCUUCGACGAGUCGAGUUGUUUGGGAAUGCAGCUCUAAAUGGGAGGUAAAUUUCUUCUAAAGCUAAAUAUUGGCCAGAGACCGAUAGCGCACAAGUAGAGUGAUCGAAAGAUGAAAAGCACUUUGGAAAGAGAGUCAAAAAGCACGUGAAAUUGUUGAAAGGGAAGCGCUUGCAACCAGACUUGCCUGCAGUUGCUCAUCCGGUCUUCUGACCGGUGCACUCUUCUGUAGGCAGGCCAGCAUCAGUUCGGGCGGCUAGAUAAAGACCUCUGUCACGUAUCUUCCUUCGGGAUGACCUUAUAGGGGAGGUGUAAUGUAGCCAGCCUGGAUUGAGGUCCGCGCAUCUGCUAGGAUGCUGGCGUAAUGGUUGUAAGCGGCCCGUCUUGAAACACGGACCAAGGAGUCUAACAUCUAUGCGAGUGUUUGGGUGUAAAGCCCGGACGCGUAAUGAAAGUGAACGGAGGUGGGAACCCUUACGGGUGCACCAUCGACCGAUCCUGAUGUCUUCGGAUGGAUUUGAGUAAGAGCAUAGCUGUUGGGACCCGAAAGAUGGUGAACUAUGCCUGAAUAGGGUGAAGCCAGAGGAAACUCUGGUGGAGGCUCGCAGCGGUUCUGACGUGCAAAUCGAUCGUCAAAUUUGGGCAUAGGGGCGAAAGACUAAUCG
Molecule: ribosomal RNA, 848 nt
Filed under: Nigrograna obliqua
Lineage: Eukaryota; Fungi; Ascomycota; Dothideomycetes; Pleosporales; Nigrogranaceae
Description: partial large subunit ribosomal RNA
Rfam family: Eukaryotic large subunit ribosomal RNA
Source: RNAcentral